RNAcentral lists this ribosomal RNA (464 nucleotides) under uncultured bacterium. RNAcentral describes it as "partial 16S ribosomal RNA". It matches the Rfam family "Bacterial small subunit ribosomal RNA", at positions 29 to 507 of the family's 1533-position model. The record is from RNAcentral.
ACGAACGCUGGCGGCGUGCUUCACCCCUGCCAGUCGAACGGAAAGGCCCCAGCUUGCUGGGGUACUCGAGUGGCGAACGGGUGAGUAACACGUGGGUGAUCUGCCCUGCACUCUGGGAUAAGCCUGGGAAACUGGGUCUAAUACCGGAUAGGACCGUGCUUUAGUGUGUGCGGUGGAAAGUUUUUCGGUGCAGGAUGAGCCCGCGGCCUAUCAGCUUGUUGGUGGGGUAAUGGCCUACCAAGGCGGCGACGGGUAGCCGGCCUGAGAGGGUGUACGGCCACAUUGGGACUGAGACACGGCCCAGACUCCUACGGGAGGCAGCAGUGGGGAAUAUUGCACAAUGGGCGCAAGCCUGAUGCAGCGACGCCGCGUGGGGGAUGACGGCCUUCGGGUUGUAAACCCCUUUCGGCAGGGACGAAGCUUUUGUGACGGUACCUGCAUAAGAAGCACCGGCUAACUACGUG